GACGAACGCUGGCGGCGUGCUUAACACAUGCAAGUCGAACGGAAAGGCCCUUCGGGGUACUCGUGUGGCGAACGGGUGAGUAACCCGUGGGUGAUUUGCCCUGCAUUUUGGGUUAAGCCUGGGAAACUGGGUCUAAUACCGAAUAGGACCACUAGCUUCCUGGUGUGUGGUGGCAAGCUUUUGCGGUGUGGGAUGGGCCCGCGGCCUAUGAGCUCGUUGGUGGGGUAAUGGCCUACCAAGUCGGCGACGGGUAGCCGUCCUGGGAGGGUGACCGGCCACACUGGGACUGAGAUACGCCCCAGACUCCUACGGGAGACAGCAGUGGGGAAUAUUGCACAAUGGGCGCAAGCCUGAUGCAGCGACGCCGCGUGAGGGAUGACGGCCUUCGGGUUGUAAACCGCUUUCAAUAGAGACGAAGCGCAAGUGACGGUACCUAAAGAAGAAGCACCGGCCAACUACGUG
Molecule: ribosomal RNA, 462 nt
Filed under: uncultured bacterium
Lineage: Bacteria
Description: partial 16S ribosomal RNA
Rfam family: Bacterial small subunit ribosomal RNA
Source: RNAcentral